This 69-nucleotide transfer RNA is filed under the name Ictidomys tridecemlineatus (thirteen-lined ground squirrel). RNAcentral describes it as "Spermophilus tridecemlineatus (thirteen-lined ground squirrel) tRNA". It matches the Rfam family "tRNA". From Rfam's summary of the family: Transfer RNA (tRNA) molecules are approximately 80 nucleotides in length. Their secondary structure includes four short double-helical elements and three loops (D, anti-codon, and T loops). The record is from Rfam by way of RNAcentral. RNAcentral also lists the same sequence under 1 other name. Lineage: Eukaryota; Metazoa; Chordata; Mammalia; Rodentia; Sciuridae.
GGGGUUGUGGCUCAGUGGUAGAGUGCUCGCCUAGCACGUGCGAGACCCUGGGUUCAAUCCUCAGCACCA